Molecule: ribosomal RNA, 437 nt
Filed under: uncultured Oscillospiraceae bacterium
Lineage: Bacteria; Bacillati; Bacillota; Clostridia; Eubacteriales; Oscillospiraceae
Description: bacterial SSU rRNA
Rfam family: Bacterial small subunit ribosomal RNA
Source: RNAcentral
ACGGGAGGCAGCAGUGGGGAAUAUUGGGCAAUGGGCGAAAGCCUGACCCAGCGACGCCGCGUGAGGGAAGAAGGUCUUCGGAUUGUAAACCUUAGUCAACAGGGAAGAAGCAAGUGACGGUACCUGUGGAGGAAGCCACGGCUAACUACGUGCCAGCAGCCGCGGUAAUACGUAGGUGGCGAGCGUUAUCCGGAUUUACUGGGUGUAAAGGGCGUGUAGGCGGAGAUGCAAGUCAGAAGUGAAAUCUAGGGGCUUAACCCCUAAACUGCUUUUGAAACUGUAUCCCUUGAGUAUCGGAGAGGCAGGCGGAAUUCCCAGUGUAGCGGUGAAAUGCGUAGAUAUUGGGAGGAACACCAGUGGCGAAGGCGGCCUGCUGGACGACAACUGACGCUGAGGCGCGAAAGCGUGGGGAGCAAACAGGAUUAGAUACCCUGGUA